GGACGCGUAGCUCAGCGGGAGAGCAUUCGCUUCACACGCGAAGGGUCGCAGGUUCAAUCCCUGCCGCGUCCA
This 72-nucleotide transfer RNA is filed under the name Asticcacaulis benevestitus DSM 16100 = ATCC BAA-896. It matches the Rfam family "tRNA". Rfam says of the family: Transfer RNA (tRNA) molecules are approximately 80 nucleotides in length. The record is from Rfam by way of RNAcentral. Lineage: Bacteria; Pseudomonadati; Pseudomonadota; Alphaproteobacteria; Caulobacterales; Caulobacteraceae.